RNAcentral lists this small RNA (75 nucleotides) under Morganella morganii. RNAcentral describes it as "isrK". The record is from RNAcentral. Lineage: Bacteria; Pseudomonadati; Pseudomonadota; Gammaproteobacteria; Enterobacterales; Morganellaceae.
GCUGCGGCACAAUCCGCAGCCGGAAUUGGCGUUCCGAAUCUCCCCACGGUCUCCGGAAACAUCAGCAGCAUGUUU